RNAcentral lists this ribosomal RNA (649 nucleotides) under uncultured bacterium. Its description in RNAcentral is "bacterial SSU rRNA". It matches the Rfam family "Bacterial small subunit ribosomal RNA", at positions 43 to 685 of the family's 1533-position model. The record is from RNAcentral.
CAGGCCUAACACAUGCAAGUCGAGGGGUAACAGGGAGUGCUUGCACUCCGCUGACGACCGGCGCACGGGUGCGUAACGCGUAUGCAACCUACCUUUUACAGGGGGAUAGUCAAUAGAAAUGUUGAAUAAUACCCCAUACGAUCUUUGAGGAGCAUUUCUUAGAGAGGAAAACUACGGUGGUAAAAGAUGGGCAUGCGUCCUAUUAGUUAGAUGGUAAGGUAACGGCUUACCAUGGCGACGAUAGGUAGGGGUCCUGAGAGGGAGACCCCCCACACUGGUACUGAGACACGGACCAGACUCCUACGGGAGGCAGCAGUGAGGAAUAUUGGACAAUGGAGGCAACUCUGAUCCAGCCAUGCCGCGUGCAGGAAGACGGCCCUACGGGUUGUAAACUGCUUUUAUACAGGAAGAAACCUAUCUACGUGUAGAUAGCUGACGGUACUGUACGAAUAAGGAUCGGCUAACUCCGUGCCAGCAGCCGCGGUAAUACGGAGGAUCCAAGCGUUAUCCGGAAUCAUUGGGUUUAAAGGGUCCGCAGGCGGUUUGUUAAGUCAGAGGUGAAAGCCUACCGCUCAACGGUAGAACGGCCUUUGAUACUGACAGGCUUGAGUUAUUGUGAAGUAGUUAGAAUGUGUAGUGUAGCGGUGAA